CCUACGGGAGGCAGCAGUGAGGAAUAUUGGUCAAUGGGCGGAAGCCUGAACCAGCCAAGUAGCGUGCAGGAUGACGGCCCUACGGGUUGUACACUGCUUUUAUACGGGAAUAACGCGCCUUACGUGUAGGGCUUUGCAUGUACCGUAUGAAUAAGGACCGGCUAAUUUCGUGCCAGCAGCCGCGGUAAUACGGAGGGUCCGGGCGUUAUCCGGAUUUAUUGGGUUUAAAGGGAGCGUAGGCCGCAUGUCAAGCGUGCUGUGAAAUGUCCGGGCUCAACCCGGGCCUUGCAGCGCAAACGGGCGUGCUUGAGUGCGCGGGAGGCAGGCGGAAUUCGUCGUGUAGCGGUGAAAUGCUUAGAUAUGACGAAGAACCCCGAUUGCGAAGGCAGCUUGCUGCAGCGGAACUGACGCUGAUGCUCGAAAGCGCGGGUAUCGAACAGGAUUAGAUACCCCAGUAGUC
RNAcentral lists this ribosomal RNA (460 nucleotides) under uncultured bacterium. Its description in RNAcentral is "partial 16S ribosomal RNA". It matches the Rfam family "Bacterial small subunit ribosomal RNA", at positions 338 to 795 of the family's 1533-position model. The record is from RNAcentral.